AUUGAACGCUGGCGGCAUGCUUUACACAUGCAAGUCGAACGGUAACAGGGUGCUUGCACCGCUGACGAGUGGCGAACGGGUGAGUAAUGCGUCGGAACGUGCCGAGUAGUGGGGGAUAACGCAGCGAAAGUUGUGCUAAUACCGCAUACGUACUGAGGUAGAAAGUGGGGGACCUUCGGGCCUCACGCUAUUCGAGCGGCCGACGUCUGAUUAGCUAGUAGGGGAGGUAAAGGCUCACCUAGGCGACGAUCAGUAGCGGGUCUGAGAGGAUGGUCCGCCACACUGGGACUGAGACACGGCCCAGACUCCUACGGGAGGCAGCAGUGGGGAAUUUUGGACAAUGGGCGAAAGCCUGAUCCAGCCAUGCCGCGUGUCUGAAGAAGGCCUUCGGGUUGUAAAGGACUUUUGUCAGGGAGGAAAUCCCUAGUGCUAAUAACACUGGGGGAUGACAGUACCUGAAGAAUAAGCACCGGCUAACUACGUGCCAGCCGCCGCGGUAG
RNAcentral lists this ribosomal RNA (500 nucleotides) under uncultured bacterium. RNAcentral's name for it is "partial 16S ribosomal RNA". It matches the Rfam family "Bacterial small subunit ribosomal RNA", at positions 30 to 523 of the family's 1533-position model. The record is from RNAcentral.